Molecule: ribosomal RNA, 222 nt
Filed under: uncultured Glomeromycotina
Lineage: Eukaryota; Fungi; Glomeromycota
Description: partial 18S ribosomal RNA
Rfam family: Eukaryotic small subunit ribosomal RNA (bases 46-222)
Source: RNAcentral
GGAUUAAUAUGUUGGUCGUGCCUUGGUACGUACUGGCAUUAUUGGUUCCUACCUUCUGAAGAACCUCGAUGUCAUUAAUUUGGUGUCUUGGGGAAUCAGGACUGUUACUUUGAAAAAUUUUAGAGUGUUUAAAGCAGGCUCACGCUUGAAUACAUUAGCAUGGAAUAAUGAAAUAGGACGUUUGAUUCUAUUUUGUUGGUUUUUAGGAUCGACGUAAUGAUU